UAGCAUAUCAUAGCGGAGGAAAAGAAACCAACAGGGAUUGCCUCAGUAACGGCGAGUGAAGCGGCAAGAGCUCAAAUUUGAAAUCUGGCCUCCCCCGGGGGCCCGAGUUGUAAUUUGCAGAGGAUGUUUCGGGUGCGGCCGCCGUCUAAGUUCCUUGGAACAGGACGUCAGAGAGGGUGAGAAUCCCGUCUUGGGCGGGCGGUCCGCGCCCGUGUGAAGCUCCUUCGACGAGUCGAGUUGUUUGGGAAUGCAGCUCUAAGCGGGUGGUAAAUUUCAUCUAAAGCUAAAUAUUGGCCGGAGACCGAUAGCGCACAAGUAGAGUGAUCGAAAGGUUAAAAGCACCUUGAAAAGGGAGUUAAACAGCACGUGAAAUUGUUGAAAGGGAAGCGCUUGCGGCCAGACUCGGGGGCGGGGUUCAGCGGGUGCUCGUCGCCCGUGUAUUCCUCGUUUCCCGGGCCAGCAUCAGUUUCGACGGCCGGUCAAAGGCCCCCGGAAUGUGUCGUCUCUCGGGACGUCUUAUAGCCGGGGGUGCAAUGCGGCCCGUCGGGACUGAGGAACGCGCUCCGGCUCGGAUGCUGGCGUAAUGGCCGUAAGCGGCCCGUCUUGAAACACGGACCAAGGAGUCUAACAUCCACGCGAGUGUUCGGGUGUCAAACCCGUGCGCGCAGUGAAAGCGAACGGAGGUGGGAGCCCUAGGGCGCACCAUCGACCGAUCCUGAAGUCUUCGGAUGGAUUUGAGUAGGAGCGUGGCCGUUGGGACCCGAAAGAUGGUGAACUAUGCCUGAAUAGGGUGAAGCCAGAGGAAACUCUGGUGGAGGCUCGCAGCGGUUCUGACGUGCAAAUCGAUCGUCAAAUUUGGGCAUAGGGGCGAAAGACUAAUC
This 881-nucleotide ribosomal RNA is filed under the name Trichophyton equinum. RNAcentral describes it as "LSU rRNA". It matches the Rfam family "Eukaryotic large subunit ribosomal RNA", at positions 36 to 936 of the family's 3401-position model. The record is from RNAcentral. Lineage: Eukaryota; Fungi; Ascomycota; Eurotiomycetes; Onygenales; Arthrodermataceae.